RNAcentral lists this ribosomal RNA (429 nucleotides) under Pseudomonadota bacterium. Its description in RNAcentral is "Proteobacteria bacterium partial 16S ribosomal RNA". It matches the Rfam family "Bacterial small subunit ribosomal RNA", at positions 355 to 776 of the family's 1533-position model. The record is from RNAcentral. Lineage: Bacteria; Pseudomonadati; Pseudomonadota.
UGGGGAAUAUUGGACAAUGGGCGAAAGCCUGAUCCAGCCAUGCCGCGUGUGUGAAGAAGGUCUUCGGAUUGUAAAGCACUUUAAGUUGGGAGGAAGGGCAGUAAGCGAAUACCUUGCUGUUUUGACGUUACCGACAGAAUAAGCACCGGCUAACUCUGUGCCAGCAGCCGCGGUAAUACAGAGGGUGCAAGCGUUAAUCGGAAUUACUGGGCGUAAAGCGCGCGUAGGUGGUUCGUUAAGUUGAAUGUGAAAGCCCCGGGCUCAACCUGGGAACUGCAUCCAAAACUGGCGGGCUAGAGUAGGGCAGAGGGUGGUGGAAUUUCCUGUGUAGCGGUGAAAUGCGUAGAUAUAGGAAGGAACACCAGUGGCGAAGGCGACCACCUGGGCUCAUACUGACGCUGAGGUGCGAAAGCGUGGGGAGCAAACAGG